This 1059-nucleotide ribosomal RNA is filed under the name Triticum aestivum (bread wheat). RNAcentral's name for it is "partial small subunit ribosomal RNA". The record is from RNAcentral. Lineage: Eukaryota; Viridiplantae; Streptophyta; Magnoliopsida; Poales; Poaceae.
AUGGCGACCACUCCUCUCGCGACCGCCUCUCCCUAUCCAUUCCCCUCUCUGCUCUCCAAAACCCUAAACCCCACCUCCACCUCCAAGCUCUCUCCUCCGCACUCCCUCUCCCUCUCCCUCCUCACCACCCCGGCGCCCCUCCUCCUCCCCCGCAGGCAGGGCCGGCGGCAGCGUGACAUCUCGGCGGCGUACGGUGACGGCGACAUGGACGACGACUUCGGCGGUGCGGGCGACUUCGACCUCGACGGAGACGACGGUGUGGGGGACGACGACGACCUUGACAACGAGCAGGACUACGACGUCGACUAUGACCGCCUCCUCGCCCCCGUCAAGCCUCGGCCGCACCUUUCCGGGGUUGGCAGCGGAGGCGAGGAAGGGGAGGGGGACAUCGCCAUGGUCGCGGCCGAGAGCUUCGUGUCCACUGGGGCGUCCGCCUCCGACACCGUCGUCGACUACACCAUCGACGAAGGUGAGUUUCACAAGAUUCGCCUGCUCCACUGCGACUUCUUCAUCCGCAAGGUGCCCGACCCUGACCAAGACGUCUACGACUUCCGAGAGAUGUAUGUCACACCGCCUGACACCGACAUCUACUCAAUUCCAAGGGUUCUUGCCCCGAUGCCACAAAAGUAUGUGAGGUGCGCGAAGAAAAACUUUGGCCGCUACCAUGUAAGUGAGCCACCGGUUGAGCAUCUGCGUGAUCCCCUGUACAAGACAGAGAGGGAGAUUAUGAAGGUUUUCUUAACAAAACACUACAGAAACAGGCGGUUCAGCGAUACAGAUUUUUUCCUUGAUUUUGAGGAGAUUUAUGUCAUCGACUCAAAAACAAGGUCAAUCACAAGGGCAAAAGUAGUGGUGAACGUCCCUGAAGGCAAAAGGAGAGAUAGGAGAAAUGACCUGCUACUCAUACGGGACGGUGGCGAAUCUUUCAGAAUAACUGACAAGUCCCAAAGAGACGACGCCACCACCAUCAUCCAAAGAGAAGAGUGGACGAAAUCGAGACAGGACGUGGAGAAGCAUUUCCGGAAGCUCAGAGAUUUUGACUACUCGAAUUGGUUCUGA